This 473-nucleotide ribosomal RNA is filed under the name uncultured bacterium. Its description in RNAcentral is "SSU rRNA". It matches the Rfam family "Bacterial small subunit ribosomal RNA", at positions 26 to 518 of the family's 1533-position model. The record is from RNAcentral.
AGGACGAACGCUGGCGGCGUGCUUAACACAUGCAAGUCGAGCGGAAAGGCCCUUCGGGGUACUCGAGCGGCGAACGGGUGAGUAACACGUGAGUAAUCUGCCCUUAGCUCUGGGAUAGCUCCGGGAAAACCGGGAUUAAUACCAGAUACGACCACUUUAGACAUCUGCCGUGGUGGAAAGAAUUUCGGCUAAGGAUGAGCUCGCGGCCUAUCAGCUUGUUGGUGGGGUAACGGCCUACCAAGGCGACGACGGGUAGCCGGCCUGAGAGGGCGACCGGCCACACUGGGACUGAGACACGGCCCAGACUCCUACGGGAGGCAGCAGUGGGGAAUAUUGCGCAAUGGGCGAAAGCCUGACGCAGCGACGCCGCGUGGGGGAUGAAGGCCUUCGGGUUGUAAACCCCUUUCAGCAGGGACGAAGCGAAAGUGACGGUACCUGCAGAAGAGCGCGGCUAACUACGUGCCAGCAGCCGC